Molecule: long non-coding RNA, 803 nt
Filed under: Cavia porcellus (domestic guinea pig)
Lineage: Eukaryota; Metazoa; Chordata; Mammalia; Rodentia; Caviidae
Description: lncRNA (ENSCPOG00000040241.1)
Source: RNAcentral
AAGUUCAAGCAGCCCUCUGCCCGCCACGCUGGGCGCUCAGGGGAGCAGCCCCAGGAGAGGGCGCCGCGUGGCUCCAGUUCGGAGACAGAGGCUGGGGACAGUCCUCCGCCAGCGCCAGCCGGGCCUCCCGCUGCCCACACGCCCCGAGUGGGCGACGGCGGGGAAGCAGCAGAACCGACGUCCCCGCCGCCGGGACGCGCGUGUGCGCACCGGCUCGAUGCGCGGAGACGGAGUCACUCAGGAGACGCGCGGCGGCGGGGCCUCGGACAGACCCAGCUGGGCGCGCGUGGACGGCGGACUGCGAGCGCGGGGUGCUGCCUCGCGGCACUGCCUGGACCCACGCUCAGAAGUGGGGGUUUCUAAUCCGAUCCUGGGGUGGGCCCGGCAGAACCCCGAGCGGGCUGGAGUGAGCGUGACCGUCGCGCCCGGCGACAGAGGUGUUACACACGGUGACGAGAUCCGUGGAUGACCUCACAGGCCACUUCCCGCCAGCACCUCGGUUGGUCUGAAGAGACCCGGGGAGGGCACACCGAGGCCAGCCCCGAGCGAGCACCCCGUUCCUGCCGCUUCCAGCCACCUGCCUCUUCAUUUCCAGCGCUAGACCUUUGGGUGACUUCCAGGUUUCAGCAGUUACGCAGAAGAUACUAUCGGUAUUUACACACAAGUUUUUGUGGACACUGGUUUUUAUUUAUUUUAGGAAAAUAGCUAAGAGUAGAGUUGCUGGAUCUGGACUUGGUAAAUAUUUAACUUUAUAAGACUCUUAUAAGACUCCGCCAGAGUUUUCCAAGGUGCCUGUGGAAUUU